This 227-nucleotide ribosomal RNA is filed under the name uncultured bacterium. RNAcentral's name for it is "partial 16S ribosomal RNA". It matches the Rfam family "Bacterial small subunit ribosomal RNA", at positions 109 to 334 of the family's 1533-position model. The record is from RNAcentral.
AGUAACGCGUGAGGAACCUGCCUCAAAGAGGGGGACAACAGUUGGAAACGACUGCUAAUACCGCAUAAGCCCACGGCUCGGCAUCGAGCAGAGGGAAAAGGAGCAAUCCGCUUUGAGAUGGCCUCGCGUCCGAUUAGCUAGUUGGCGAGGUAACGGCCCACCAAGGCGACGAUCGGUAGCCGGACUGAGAGGUUGAACGGCCACAUUGGGACUGAGACACGGCCCAG